Molecule: ribosomal RNA, 497 nt
Filed under: uncultured bacterium
Lineage: Bacteria
Description: partial 16S ribosomal RNA
Rfam family: Bacterial small subunit ribosomal RNA
Source: RNAcentral
GACGAACGCUGGCGGCGUGCCUAAUACAUGCAAGUUGAGCGAUGAAGCUUGGUGCUUGCACCAAUUUGAAGAGCAGCGAACGGGUGAGUAACGCGUGGGGAAUCUGCCUUUGAGCGGGGGACAACAUUUGGAAACGAAUGCUAAUACCGCAUAACAACUUUAAACAUAAGUUUUAAGUUUGAAAGAUGCAAUUGCAUCACUCAAAGAUGAUCCCGCGUUGUAUUAGCUAGUUGGUGAGGUAAAGGCUCACCAAGGCGAUGAUACAUAGCCGACCUGAGAGGGUGAUCGGCCACAUUGGGACUGAGACACGGCCCAAACUCCUACGGGAGGCAGCAGUAGGGAAUCUUCGGCAAUGGACGAAAGUCUGACCGAGCAACGCCGCGUGAGUGAAGAAGGUUUUCGGAUCGUAAAACUCUGUUGGUAGAGAAGAACGUUGGUGAGAGUGGAAAGCCCAUCAAGUGACGGUAACUACCCAGAAAGGGACGGCUAACUACGUG